UAGGGAAUCUUCCACAAUGGACGAAAGUCUGAUGGAGCAACGCCGCGUGAGUGAAGAAGGUUUUCGGAUCGUAAAGCUCUGUUGUUGGUGAAGAGGGAUAGAGGCAGUAACUGGUCUUUAUUUGACGGUAAUCAACCAGAAAGUCACGGCUAACUACGUGCCAG
RNAcentral lists this ribosomal RNA (164 nucleotides) under uncultured bacterium. RNAcentral's name for it is "partial 16S rRNA". It matches the Rfam family "Bacterial small subunit ribosomal RNA", at positions 355 to 511 of the family's 1533-position model. The record is from RNAcentral.